RNAcentral lists this long non-coding RNA (2219 nucleotides) under Heterocephalus glaber (naked mole-rat). Its description in RNAcentral is "lncRNA (ENSHGLG00100033379.1)". The record is from RNAcentral. Lineage: Eukaryota; Metazoa; Chordata; Mammalia; Rodentia; Bathyergidae.
UUUUUUUUUUUUUUUUUUGGUACUGGGGAUCGAACUCGGGACCUUAUGCUUGAGAAGCAGGCGACGGAAUCACUGAGCUAAAUCCCCGGCCCAUCUGUGUAAUCUUUACACUUAGUCAUUCUAAAGCUGAGCACACACCCAGGAGAAAGGAGCCCUCUCAGGAAGGCGAAGUCCGAGCCCGGCCCAGAGAGUAUGUGAGGCCAGUUGACAACACAGUACUUGCAUUCAAAUUCCUUCUGAAAAGGUAAAGGGGCUGCGUACACUCAUGUAAAAGAUAAGAAUUUCCUUCUGAACAAGAAAUAAAAGAUUGUACAUUUUUCCAGGGACUCUGAAAUGGAUGUUGCAAGAGGCAACCUGGGGUGGUUUGUCAGAAGGAGCCCAAAAAAGUUCCAGGAAUAAGCAGUCCUUGGCCCAGUGGACCAGGCCCGAGACAGGGGAGGUGCCUCACCCAGAGGCCUGGGUGAUUACAAUGGGUUGGUGGGGGCCCUGGGUGUUCCUGACCCUGCUCCAGGGGGGCAGAGGUGACAUCCACCCCCUGGCAGUUUUGUCCUCAGAACUGAGUAGGCAGGAAUCCUUCCCAUGCACACAGCGUGACCCAGUGCUGGUCUCCGCUAGGCAGGCCCAGACGGGGAGGAAUGACAGACCUGUCAUGUGGUUUUGGAGCAGGAGGCAUAGUUCAGUUUCUGGUUGCCACAGUCCCACCCCUGACCUCCACAGGAUUGGACAGGGAGGAAAGGAGCCCCUGGCAGAUUGCCUGACAUUCCUGAGGCUGUGGAUUCAGCACCUUCCUAAGAGGGCAGCCAUGGGCCUGUCUGCCACCCCACCUUCCUUGAUGCUAGCUGAUUAUGGACUGAAACCUCUACAGACUGUGAGCUAAAUAAACCUUUUCUCCUUUAACUUUGGGUGUUGGGUAUUUUGUCUCAGCAAUGAGAAAAGUAACUAAGAUAGCAGAAUUCUGGGAUUUGGCCCUAGCCACUGCACACCUCUGAAAAUCAGGCCCUUGACUGUCCCUCCAACCCACAUCAUCCUGGAAUAUAGAACAUGGAGCUCACCACCUGCAAUCUCCAGGUAGUACUUGAAUUGCUGAGCAAACACUUGCUAUUGGCAAAAGUACAAAGCUCUGCAAAAGGUCCAACAGGAAAAACUAAACACAGAAGAACAGCAUCAGCUGGGUGGGGUGGGGGCACAGGAACUUUGAGGAGACCCUUGUGGCAGUGGCUGAGGUCGAGCUAGGGUGGGUCCUGGUCACAAGGGAUGGAGAGGCGGGGACCGAGGACGGUACACCUCUCAUCCCAUGCCUUGCUAGUGCUGUGCCUCUGGAAGGACUCGGUGCGCAAGCUAACCAUGGAUGUCUCCCUGACAGCCCGCCUUGCAUCCUGUGGCCAGUUGCUGCCACAUUCCCGAGCGAUUCCCCAUGAGACUCCUGGACACCACCUUGUCUGUGCCUGGCUGACGUCUGAACGCACCCGUGGGCACUGAGCACAAAGCUGUCACCAUUUACCUGAUGUAGAGGGAAUAGAUGUAACUUCCAAACCUGCUAGGUCAAAAGGACAAAAAGAAGUGGACAAAAAGAAGAGCUCUGAAUUCCAACUGUCCUUCAAUGGAAAAAUGCUUCACCACCAGGAAAUCCCAGUCAUCGAUCAAGCUCUUCCAGAACUAACUCUCCAUACUCCUCAUGCAGGAUAACCUUUGCUCCUCUGCCACGGAGUUCACCUUGUCAGUCCUCAUUGAAGGACCUGCCUGCUGAAGGUUCCAGGCAUACUGCUCAUCAUCGCUUUGCUUGGUGGUCACAGUCACUCUCUCAGCAACCAAGUGGAAACCCACACCUGACCGGCCAGUCAUGGAGUUGUCAGUGCCAACCUGCAAAGCCUCCAUGAAGGCCUUGGUCUCCAACUUGGUGAUGGUGCUGAAGUCAUCCAUCAAGUUAACCCUGGUCAUUCCGAUCCCAGUAUCCACGAUGGCUUUCAUACCUAAUUUUGUCCAGAGCAUCUGACGAAUUUGGAAUCAAUCCCUCAGGAAGAUCUCUUUGAGUAGAAAGUGUUGUUGAUCAGUGACAUCAACUGGGCAAUUUCUGCCUGGAAGGUGAAUGUCUCUACCUCCUCCUCCUCCUCCUCCUCCAUGAGCUGGUCCUGGGUGAGUCUCCCCAGCAUCUUGGCUAAGCAACCCAUGGGAUCUGCAACAUAGCAGCUCUGAGAUGCUGAAGCAACUGGCCCAUCCCC